AGCUAAAAGCAAUAAGUAAGCUUUGCAAAAAUACUUAAGGAGUGCGCUAAAGGUUAUGCCUUUGUGAUGUUGAAACUACCGAAAAAGAAGUUAGAGGAUAGAGAUUAGGAGUUAGAAAUAACUAAUGACUAAGGACUAUCUGACUAAAUUCUAAAAUAUAUAACAAACUUUAGGGUGGUUAUAGCGGUGGGGCUCACCUGUUCCCAUUCCGAACACAGAAGUUAAGCCCACCAGCGCCGAUGGUACUGCUAACGCGGGAGAGUAGGUCGCCGCCAGUU
This 278-nucleotide ribosomal RNA is filed under the name Elizabethkingia sp. YR214. Lineage: Bacteria; Pseudomonadati; Bacteroidota; Flavobacteriia; Flavobacteriales; Weeksellaceae. The record is from RNAcentral.